CCGCCCCGCCGCCCCCGCUCGACGCCGGGCCCAGCCUGCAGCCGGCGAGGGAGGACGCGGGGCCGCCAGUCGGGGACCCUUGCUGUUGGAAAACCUGCAUAACUCAAUCAAUCAGUUUUUCUCAAUGACCAGCGCCUACUGUUACAAAAUCAUCCCCAGGAAAAAGGUCCAUUCAAAAUGCAACACAGACCAAUGGAUUCACUGUAACAGCGGAGGACCAACGUCACUGGUACACCUUCAGAUUACACGCUGCAGCUGCCCUUUCUGAAAACAACUAACUAUUCUGAAACCAUGAUUUGUGCCAUCUUCCUCCAGCACCAGAGUGACCAGUCCAGUGGUGAUGACCAGGGCAUCCAGAGUCUAGGUGGGCAACGCAUCAGAGAAAUGGAGUUUAGCCAGAUAUUUUCAUGUGACCAUCCAACGACAUUUAUUAAGUUACAGUUUUCAGAAGUGUUGGCUGAUUCUGAUAAAAUUUUAAUGGUAAAGGUAACCUUGACUUGUGUCUAUGACUCAGUCUUUGCUUGGAAGCAGGGAAGUGAAGAAUG
Molecule: long non-coding RNA, 545 nt
Organism: Rhinopithecus roxellana (golden snub-nosed monkey)
Lineage: Eukaryota; Metazoa; Chordata; Mammalia; Primates; Cercopithecidae
Exons: 3
Source: RefSeq, a predicted model, not a curated record